Molecule: ribosomal RNA, 253 nt
Filed under: uncultured bacterium
Lineage: Bacteria
Description: partial 16S ribosomal RNA
Rfam family: Bacterial small subunit ribosomal RNA
Source: RNAcentral
GACGGAGGGCGCAAGCGUUGUUCGGAAUCACUGGGCAUAAAGAGCACGUAGGCUGUCAGUUAAGUUCGGUGUGAAAGCCCCCGGCCCAACCGGGGAAUUGCAUUGAAAACUGGCUGACUAGAGGACAGGAGGGGUGAGUGGAACUCCAGGUGGAACGGUGAAAUGUGUAGAUAUCUGGAGGAACACCGGUGGCGAAAGCGGCUCACUGGCCUGUUUCUGACGCUGAGGUGCGAAAGCUAGGGGAGCGAACGGG